GCACAAGCGGUGGAGCAUGUGGUUUAAUUCGAUGCAACGCGAAGAACCUUACCUGGUCUUGACAUAGUAAGAACUUUCCAGAGAUGGAUUGGUGCCUUCGGGAACUUACAUACAGGUGCUGCAUGGCUGUCGUCAGCUCGUGUCGUGAGAUGUUGGGUUAAGUCCCGCAACGAGCGCAACCCUUUUCCUUAUUUGCCAGCGGGUUAAGCCGGGAACCUUAAGGAUACUGCCAGUGACAAACUGGAGGAAGGCGGGGACGACGUCAAGUCAUCAUGGCCCUUACGACCAGGGCUACACACGUGCUACAAUGGUCGGUACAAAGGGUUGCUACCUAGCGAUAGGAUGCUAAUCUCAAAAAGCCGAUCGUAGUCCGGAUUGGAGUCUGCAACUCGACCCCAUGAAGUCGGAAUCGCUAGUAAUCGCGGAUCAGAAUGCCGCGGUGAAUACGUUCCCGGGC
RNAcentral lists this ribosomal RNA (457 nucleotides) under uncultured bacterium. RNAcentral's name for it is "bacterial SSU rRNA". It matches the Rfam family "Bacterial small subunit ribosomal RNA", at positions 923 to 1379 of the family's 1533-position model. The record is from RNAcentral.